AUGGAUCUAGACCUGGGCAUCUACAUCAAAUACCGACUGGAUGGCUCACUAUUUGACCUUCGCCUCCUGACUGCAAAAACAAAGACAACAAAGAGACUCAUCCUGGAAGCUCUCUUUGCAGAUGACUGUGCUCUCAUGGCCCACCAAGAAAAUCAUCUCCAAACCAUUGUGGACAGGUUCUCCACCGCAACCAAACUGUUUGGCCUGACUAUCAGCCUCAGCAAAGCAGAGGUGCUGUUCCAACCUGCACCAGGGAGGCCAACUAACCAGCCGUGCAUUACAAUCAACGGCACGCAGCUUUCUAACAUCAACACUUUCAAGUGCCUGGGCAGCACCAUCGCCAACGACGGGUCCCUAGACCACGAGAUUAAUGCCAGGAUCCAAAAGGCCAGCCAGGCACUCGGGCGGCUGCUCUGCAAAGUCCUCCAACACAGCGGUGUAAGCACUGCGACGAAGCUCAAAGUGUACAACGCAGUGGUCCUCAGCUCGCUCCUGUACAGUUGUGAGACAUGGACACUGUACCGGAAGCACAUGAAACAGCUGGAGCAAUUCCACCAACGCUCCCUCCGGUCAAUCAUGAGGAUCCGAUGGCAGGACCGAAUCACCAACCAGGAAGUCCUAGACAGAGCCAACUCCACCAGCAUCGAAGUCCUGGUCCUCAAAACCCAGCUACGAUGGUCUGGACACGUCAUCCGCAUGGACCCACAGCGAAUACCAAGACAGGUAUUCUAUGGUGAACUGUCAGCUGGACUCAGGAAACAAGGCCGACCAAAGAAAAGAUUCAAGGAUCAGCUAAAGUCCAACUUGAAGUGGGCUGGCAUCACACCAAAGCAACUAGAACUCGCUGCCUCUGACAGAAGCAGCUGGCGAACCCACAUUAACCAUGCCACCGCCACCUUUGAAGAUGAGCCACGUCGACGUCUUGCCGCUGCGCAUGAACGCCGACACCAGGCCACAGCCGCACCUCCCAUAACAGCUGGCGUCCCAGGCCCCAUGUGCCACAAACUCUGCGCCUCAGCCUUUGGACUCCAAAGCCACAUGAGGGUACACCGUAGAUGA
This 1059-nucleotide long non-coding RNA is filed under the name Monodelphis domestica (gray short-tailed opossum). Its description in RNAcentral is "lncRNA (ENSMODG00000041426.1)". The record is from RNAcentral. Lineage: Eukaryota; Metazoa; Chordata; Mammalia; Didelphimorphia; Didelphidae.